Molecule: transfer RNA, 86 nt
Filed under: Chloroflexota bacterium
Lineage: Bacteria; Bacillati; Chloroflexota
Also listed under: 1 other name
Description: Chloroflexi bacterium tRNA-Leu
Rfam family: tRNA
About the family: Transfer RNA (tRNA) molecules are approximately 80 nucleotides in length. Their secondary structure includes four short double-helical elements and three loops (D, anti-codon, and T loops).
Source: RNAcentral
GCCGAGGUGGCGAAAUGGUAGACGCGCUACGUUCAGGACGUAGUGUCCUUACGGACGUGCGAGUUCGACUCUCGCCCUCGGCACCA